Juglans regia (Persian walnut) is the source of this 905-nucleotide long non-coding RNA. RefSeq lists it as uncharacterized. NCBI's taxonomy places the organism in Eukaryota, Viridiplantae, Streptophyta, Magnoliopsida, Fagales, Juglandaceae. The transcript has 2 exons. The record is from RefSeq and is a predicted model, not a curated record.
UUCGUCCUUCGCACCCGCACCCGGACCCCCACCCCUGAUUCAUCUUCGCAACCCAGCACCCACUUCGUCGAAUCGCACCCGCACCCUUGAAUCACAUCCCCUAGGUCGAAGCUCAAUCUGACAAUCCCCCUUCAUCGAAUCACACUCGCACCCCCGUUCGCAACCCCGAAUCACAUCCCCUAAGUCGAUUCUCAACCCGAGCACCCCCUUCGUCGAAGCUCAACCCGAAGUCGAAGCUCAACACGAAGCUCAUCCCCACGAAUCGGCGUCGAUCAGACUCCCCCUUCGUUGAAGCUCAACCCAAAGAAAAUCCCCACAAAUCGGCGUUGGACCCCCUCUUCGUCGAAGCUCAUCCCCAAAAUUGCAAAUGAAGAGUUUGGAUUCUCAUUCCGGGUCAAGUUCUUGGACCAUAAGAGGGGAAGACAAAGUUGUUUUGGAGAGACCACUUUGCUAUUGUGGCUGCCAAGCAAAGCUACGGAUAUUUGGAAAAGCAAAAAGUUUUGGUAGAAGAUUUUUCAAUUGUCUAAACUACAAAACUAAUAAACAAUCUGGAUUUUUCGAGUGGAUUGAUCUUCAAAGUGAGCAAAACAGCUGCUGUAAGAUGACGUUGGAGUUAGCUGAACGGAGGCACCAUAGGCUACUUCAUGAGCGGCUACACAUCGAACAUUCCAAAUUUAAAGCAUUGGAUAAGAAGUAUAAGAGAGUCUUGAAAGUGUUACUCUUGUCAUGGUUUUUUUUUAUAAUAGUUUGUGGUGUGAUUUUUAUAUAUCCAAAAAAUUACAAUGUAUCUCGGUCAGUGCUACGACUCAUGUAACACGUUGUCGGCGUCUAACACUUUGAGAUUAGAUGCUUGUAUUUGAAUGUACUAAAUGUGAUUAAUGUAAUGAGAACAUCUUUCAUGGAUU